RNAcentral lists this ribosomal RNA (530 nucleotides) under Triticum aestivum (bread wheat). RNAcentral's name for it is "partial small subunit ribosomal RNA". Lineage: Eukaryota; Viridiplantae; Streptophyta; Magnoliopsida; Poales; Poaceae. The record is from RNAcentral.
UCCAUCGAGCUGUUAGAAAUAAGUCAUGCGUUCAUGUGCGUGCGUGCGUUGUGUGUGCUUGUGGCAUGCGUGUGUGUCGCUGGGUAGGCGUGAGAGCCGGAGCUAGCUAGCCAGGCCGAACUUGGUGGCUGCUAGGUGUGGUUGUUAGCGCAUGCAUGCACUGGUAGUUAGCUGGUUAGCCGGCCUGGAGUUAGUGGCCGGUAGUGGUGGCCCUGUGGUGCUCUGGGAACGAGUUCGUGCUCGUGGGUGUUGGCGUUUGAGCGCCGGAAACCUCCUGUGUCCACCUGUGUCUUCUUCUUCCCUUCUUCUUCUACCUCGGUCUGCAGCAGAACAAGAGAGCUGUGAGAGGUAGGCGAGAGCUAGGGCUAGUCGGCAACAACACGAGCUUCGACUUCGAGCACGUAUAUAAUCACUUACCAGGCCAGGAGCCUCCGUUGUGGUAGCUCCACCUGGUGUUCUUGGGGUCACAGCCGGUGACGUUCUGCCACUCGUGGCCCUCGAUGGCGGGGUAGCAGAUCUUGAGCGGCAUC